UUGUUUUUUUUUUUGAAUAAAUAUACAGUAGAAAUUUUCGUAAUAUUCAUUCGACAUAAAAUGAGAAUUUACUCAAAAUUCAAAAUGGGGAAGACCUUUUGUUAUAUUGUUUUACUUUGUUUGUCGCAAGUUCACUGUUUCACCUUGGAAGAUUGUCUUUCUCCCCCCACGUAUCCCGGUAUUGAAUGCGGCGCUUACACCGUUCGCUAUCAUUGGAAUUCUUUAACGCAAUCGUGUCAAGAAGUUCUCUAUGGAGGAUGCGGUGCUACAAGCAAUAACUUCGCAUCGUUCGUCGAGUGCGAAGUAGUUGCCGGAUACUUUUGUCGAUCUUUUUACUUAUAAACAUAUUAACCAAUAGUAAAACGGAUACAAAUAAGAAAUAAAAAGAUUAAACUUACGUAUAACGAUUUCUAAAUAAAACCAAGUUGAUUUGUGUCAUUUUUUUAUUAAAAUAAUUGAAACCCGUUCAAAAUUUAAACAUAUUAAGUAUCAGUAUAUUGUCUUUGUUACCAAUAAAUCAUAUUUUCACGAGAACCCUUCCACAGCAGAAGUUUGAAGUAGCGAAUCCUACUGACUGCGCCUUUAAUUUUAUAAAGGAAGUGUAUUUACCAAAUUACACACAAACAAAUGGCUUUAUGCAAAAUAACUACCGAAUCUGGUUAAACAAAUCAGUUUUAUGAGAAUUUUUAUUAUAAAUAACUUCAUUUUUCGAGUUUUAAACUAAAAGUAGGUAUAUGUUAGCAAUUUUUUCAUAUAAAAUUCCGUUUUUGCUCUGAUUGUUAUCAAAGAUAUCAUUAUUGAAAGUAGCUGUAAUGUGAUAUACAACUUUAUAAAAACGACAGUAUUUUUUUAUUUUUUAUGGUAGAUGAAUUCGAGUAAAGAAAUACUUGUCACAACACAUCAUAUCGGUUACAAAUGAAAGUAAUUUUUAUUAUAAUUGUGUAAUUAUAUGAAUAUAUGAGUUAUAAGUC
This is a long non-coding RNA of Diorhabda sublineata, 971 nucleotides long. RefSeq lists it as uncharacterized. The transcript is spliced from 2 exons. The record is from RefSeq and is a predicted model, not a curated record. NCBI's taxonomy places the organism in Eukaryota, Metazoa, Arthropoda, Insecta, Coleoptera, Chrysomelidae.